This 1682-nucleotide long non-coding RNA is filed under the name Numida meleagris (helmeted guineafowl). Its description in RNAcentral is "lncRNA (ENSNMEG00000000575.1)". The record is from RNAcentral. Lineage: Eukaryota; Metazoa; Chordata; Aves; Galliformes; Numididae.
CCAGGCUGGAUGGGGCCCUGGAGAAUCACAGAAUCACGGGAUGGCUCUGGUUGAAAGGGAUUUUAAGGCCCACCCAGCCCCAACCCCCCCACCAUGGGCAGGGCUGCCACCCACCAGCUCAGGCUGCCCAGGGCCCCAUCCAACCUGGCCUUGAGCCUCCAGGGAUGGGGAACCCACAGCUUCUCUGGACAGCUGUGCCAGGGCCUCACCGCCCUCUGAGUAAAGAAUUUCCACCUAACACCUAACCUAAACCUCCCCUCUUUUAGUUUAAAGCCAUUCCCCCUCAUCCUAUCACUAUCAAUAAAAGGUCAUCCCCCCUCCUGCUUAUGAGCUCCCUUCAAAUACUGGAAGGCUGCAUUGAGGUCUCCCUGGAGCUUUCUCCAAACUCAUAUUAGUAUCUCCUUCACUGCCUUGGGGUCAUCUCUUUUUUAAAUCUUCUCUGCCACCCCACUAGAGUCGCAGAGGAUGAUGUUCAGAGACUGAGGAGGCCUGUAGCUCCUGCUGUUAUGUAAGCCAGUUGUGAUUUUAUAAAAUAUAACUUUAUGUGUCCAUCUCAGGAACUGAUCUUCAUUCAUCUAUUGGUAAACCGUUCCUUCUUUCUUAAAGGGUAAAACAAGAGUGCUGAUCUCAGUUUUGGCUUCAAGGUUGCUCUGGAGAGCAUCAAGCUGAAAAGACACAAGGCUAGGCCCCUUCCACACUGCUGGUGAUGCAGACAUGUGGGUGUGGGCCUUGGCUCUGCUGCCCUCAGUGAGUACAGUCCAAGAAGGACCAUACUCGUGGAGGUUCAGCUGAGAGGUGGAGGUAGAAUGAGAGUAAAUUCCCCAGAGGAAGCACUGGAAAAGAACUCACCCAAUGAAAUGACCUGACAAGAGACACUUAGAAGAAGACGUCUGUCUCCUCGUAACAAAGUUCAAAAGGAGUUCUGAAAUGAGGAUAGCCUGCAAGGUUUGCUUUUCUGAACUCUUGGGACAUAAUCUAUGCAUUGAGAGUGGAUGUACUUCACCCACAAAGAUCCAGAUGAGAGAUACCAGCUCUGUUGGAUUAGUUGGUUUAACACCUCUCAAUCAGGUGGACAGUUAAACCCUCUUAGUUAAGGAUACAAACUGACAGUAAGGUCAAUCACAUAUAUGUUUGUAAGAUUUGGCCACAUCAAAUUCUGUGAUUACAGAGUCUCCAUCAGUAUUACACGUCUCUUGCAUGUGACAUGGAGAUAUGCUUAAUCUCCAGCAUAUUCUGAAUAGGUACUGCCAAAAUCUUGUUCCACUCAAUGGCAGAACAGCCUUUCUUUGAGACUAGCAUCAAGAAAUUGCAUCAGUACUUGAGGUAAGGUAGAUCAUAGCUUGACUUUCCUAGUUAUUAUCUAAAUGCAUACAUUAAAUCAUUGCCUUGAAGAAUUUAGAAUUGAAAGAGCAUUAUAGAUAAGAGCCAAGAGAAAAGAAAUAUCAGUAUUUACAUUUAUUAAUAUUGAUCAAAAAUGAAACCUAAAACUGGGCCUAAACUUUGGACAUUUUCUUUUUGAUAGAUCUCCUUCAAAAGAGAUAUCUCUGUGAACUAAGAAACCAGUAGAUUAACCACAGAAAGGAGGAACCACGUUAUAAAAGCAGGGAGGACUUUAUGUUUUUUAUCAAGGAUUGCAUUAUAUGAUUGUGAAAAUCAAAUAAAAAAUAACUAUGAAACUUGCA